RNAcentral lists this ribosomal RNA (253 nucleotides) under uncultured bacterium. RNAcentral's name for it is "partial 16S ribosomal RNA". It matches the Rfam family "Bacterial small subunit ribosomal RNA", at positions 524 to 776 of the family's 1533-position model. The record is from RNAcentral.
UACGAAGGGGGCUAGCGUUGUUCGGAUUUACUGGGCGUAAAGCGCACGUAGGCGGAUCGUUAAGUCGGGGGUGAAAUCCUGGAGCUCAACUCCAGAACUGCCUUCGAUACUGGCGAUCUUGAGUCCGGAAGAGGUGAGUGGAACUCCUAGUGUAGAGUUGGAAUUCGUAGAUAUUAGGAAGAACACCAGUGGCGAAGGCGGCUCACUGGUCCGGUACUGACGCUGAGGUGCGAAAGCGUGGGGAGCAAACAGG